Molecule: ribosomal RNA, 1897 nt
Filed under: synthetic metagenome
Description: bacterial LSU rRNA
Rfam family: Bacterial large subunit ribosomal RNA
Source: RNAcentral
UCUAGUACGGUCUCGUGGGCUCGGAGAUGUGUAUAAGAGACAGACUCUAACCGGCGAUUUCCGAAUGGGGAAACCCAGUGUGUUUCGACACACUAUCAUUAACUGAAUCCAUAGGUUAAUGAGGCGAACCGGGGGAACUGAAACAUCUAAGUACCCCGAGGAAAAGAAAUCAACCGAGAUUCCCCCAGUAGCGGCGAGCGAACGGGGAGGAGCCCAGAGCCUGAAUCAGUGUGUGUGUUAGUGGAAGCGUCUGGAAAGGCGCGCGAUACAGGGUGACAGCCCCGUACACAAAAAUGCACAUAUUGUGAGCUCGAUGAGUAGGGCGGGACACGUGGUAUCCUGUCUGAAUAUGGGGGGACCAUCCUCCAAGGCUAAAUACUCCUGACUGACCGAUAGUGAACCAGUACCGUGAGGGAAAGGCGAAAAGAACCCCGGCGAGGGGAGUGAAAAAGAACCUGAAACCGUGUACGUACAAGCAGUGGGAGCCUCUUAAUGGGGUGACUGCGUACCUUUUGUAUAAUGGGUCAGCGACUUAUAUUCUGUAGCAAGGUUAACCGAAUAGGGGAGCCGAAGGGAAACCGAGUCUUAACUGGGCGUUAAGUUGCAGGGUAUAGACCCGAAACCCGGUGAUCUAGCCAUGGGCAGGUUGAAGGUUGGGUAACACUAACUGGAGGACCGAACCGACUAAUGUUGAAAAAUUAGCGGAUGACUUGUGGCUGGGGGUGAAAGGCCAAUCAAACCGGGAGAUAGCUGGUUCUCCCCGAAAGCUAUUUAGGUAGCGCCUCGUGAAUUCAUCUCCGGGGGUAGAGCACUGUUUCGGCAAGGGGGUCAUCCCGACUUACCAACCCGAUGCAAACUGCGAAUACCGGAGAAUGUUAUCAUGGGAGACACACGGCGGGUGCUAACGUCCGUCGUGAAGAGGGAAACAACCCAGACCGCCAGCUAAGGUCCCAAAGUCAUGGUUAAGUGGGAAACGAUGUGGGAAGGCCCAGACAGCCAGGAUGUUGGCUUAGAAGCAGCCAUCAUUUAAAGAAAGCGUAAUAGCUCACUGGUCGAGUCGGCCUGCGCGGAAGAUGUAACGGGGCUAAACCAUGCACCGAAGCUGCGGCAGCGACACUAUGUGUUGUUGGGUAGGGGAGCGUUCUGUAAGCCUGUGAAGGUGGCCUGUGAGGGUUGCUGGAGGUAUCAGAAGUGCGAAUGCUGACAUAAGUAACGAUAAAGCGGGUGAAAAGCCCGCUCGCCGGAAGACCAAGGGUUCCUGUCCAACGUUAAUCGGGGCAGGGUGAGUCGACCCCUAAGGCGAGGCCGAAAGGCGUAGUCGAUGGGAAACAGGUUAAUAUUCCUGUACUUGGUGUUACUGCGAAGGGGGGACGGAGAAGGCUAUGUUGGCCGGGCGACGGUUGUCCCGGUUUAAGCGUGUAGGCUGGUUUUCCAGGCAAAUCCGGAAAACCAAGGCUGAGGCGUGAUGACGAGGCACUACGGUGCUGAAGCGACAAAUGCCCUGCUUCCAGGAAAAGCCUCUAAGCAUCAGGUAACAUCAAAUCGUACCCCAAACCGACACAGGUGGUCAGGUAGAGAAUACCAAGGCGCUUGAGAGAACUCGGGUGAAGGAACUAGGCAAAAUGGUGCCGUAACUUCGGGAGAAGGCACGCUGAUAUGUAGGUGAAGCGACUUGCUCGUGGAGCUGAAAUCAGUCGAAGAUACCAGCUGGCUGCAACUGUUUAUUAAAAACACAGCACUGUGCAAACACGAAAGUGGACGUAUACGGUGUGACGCCUGCCCGGUGCCGGAAGGUUAAUUGAUGGGGUUAGCGGUAACGCGAAGCUCUUGAUCGAAGCCCCGGUAAACGGCGGCCGUAACUAUAACGGUCCUAAGGUAGCGAAAUUCCUUGUCGGGU